This 484-nucleotide ribosomal RNA is filed under the name uncultured bacterium. RNAcentral's name for it is "partial 16S ribosomal RNA". It matches the Rfam family "Bacterial small subunit ribosomal RNA", at positions 30 to 507 of the family's 1533-position model. The record is from RNAcentral.
AUUGAACGCUGGCGGCAGGCCUAACACAUGCGAGUCGAGCGGAUGAAGGGAGCUUGCUCCUGGAUUCAGCGGCGGACGGGUGAGUAAUGCCUAGGAAUCUGCCUGGUAGUGGGGGAUAACGUCCGGAAACGGGCGCUAAUACCGCAUACGUCCAGAGGGAGAAAGUGGGGGAUCUUCGGACCUCACGCUAUCAGAUGAGCCUAGGUCGGAUUAGCUAGUUGGUGGGGUAAAGGCCUACCAAGGCGACGAUCCGUAACUGGUCUGAGAGGAUGAUCAGUCACACUGGAACUGAGACACGGUCCAGACUCCUACGGGAGGCAGCAGUGGGGAAUAUUGGACAAUGGGCGAAAGCCUGAUCCAGCCAUGCCGCGUGUGUGAAGAAGGUCUUCGGAUUGUAAAGCACUUUAAGUUGGGAGGAAGGGCAGUAAGUUAAUACCUUGCUGUUUUGACGUUACCAACAGAAUAAGCACCGGCUAACUUCGUG